Long non-coding RNA from Oryzias sinensis (Chinese medaka), 2353 nucleotides. Lineage: Eukaryota; Metazoa; Chordata; Actinopteri; Beloniformes; Adrianichthyidae. The record is from Ensembl.
UCUGUGUGUGUGUGUGUGUGUGUGUGUGUGUGUGUGUGUGUGUGUGUGUGGGUGGGAGGGAGGUUGGUCUCCAUUGACUGCCAAGACACACGGACCCCUGUCUUGUAUGUGCAUGCAUCAGCUGUGUGUGCACAGGUCUCUCUCACACACACCCACACACACUCACACCCAUAGGGGACACACAGAACAGAACAGGGUCAGCAGAGAUUCUCUUGUUUGGCCCCAAGUUCAGUUUCUUAAAGUUGUUUCAGUUUCCAAACAUUCCUAAAGUCAGACUCUGCUGCUGUUAAAAUGAAUCCAGCUGUGUUCCACUGUCUCUGUAGACAGAAAUAGAUAACAAUGAUAAAUCAUAAAUGACAUGAAAGUCUAUUUGAGAGGUCACACUGAAGCCAGAAUAAUCAGGACCUCCGCUGUGAGAAGUUGGACCCUCAAACCUGUCUGAACCCCCUUUAUGAUCAGUGCAUAUGUGUCCACAAAAAGGUGGAGAACCUCCACCCGUGAAAGUUGUUCACAUAACUUCCCUCAGCUGGAAUUUAGCCGCUGCACCGACCGUGUGUCGGAGCAUCCCUAGCUGGGCCCCUCUCUAGGCGGCUCCGCGUCAUGGAACAUUCCCGGAACCAGCCAGCGCGCCUCCCAUCGCCCUCCGCCUCAGACACGCAGAGUCAGUCCCGUGAGGCUGACUCCGAGUCCUCUCCCAGAGAGCGAGCAGGGGGACGCGGCUGCGUGUCAGCCAAUCUGAGGAAUGUCCUGAGCGCAAACAAGGAAACACCGCCGGAGCGCGUUCACGUUACCUCUCAGCUAUUCGGACGCUGCGCGCGCAGCAUAAGUGAUCCAAGGAUCCAUUACUGGUUAGGCUUCAACAGGACUCUAUCAUCCACAAGUGCUACCUGGGAUUUCCUCCAGAAUUGCCUGUUCUAUCCACGCUGUUCUCGCCAGCCGCUCAUGCCCUCUCAGAAGCCCUCCAGCCUCGCCUCGUCUUCCUGCCACCCACCUGCAGUCUCGAGCCAAAGACAUCACCUCUGGAAGACCACCUACAAGAACAAAAUAAAUCAAAUUACCUACCUUAAAACUCUCCUGUGUUCCUUCUGGGUCUGUCUCAAAGUCUCGAAUAUCAUGACAAUUCUAGCUAAUAUAUACGCUCCAAACACUGAUGAUCCAAAAUUUUCCCCCGUAUUUUUGAACAACUGCCAUGUUUAAAUUCACAUAUUCUCAUUAUGGGCGGAGACCUAAAAUUGUGUUUGAUUCCAGAGAUGGAUAGAUCCUCUGUUGAACCAGGAUAUGCAAUAUCCAAAGCCGCUUCCUAUGUUCAGUCUUUCCUCUCUACCUAUGGUGUCUUAGAUAUUUGGCAUUUUUUGCAUCCACAGGACAGACAAUAUUCUUUUUCUCCAACGCUCACGACAAGACUUAAAUUAAAAUAGAUCACUUUCCAACAGAUAAUAAGCUGACCCCCAAUAUUCAAGAAUGUGAUUAUCAACCAAUUGUAAUAUCAGAUCAUGCAGCACUGGUAUUAAAAUUAAAAAUACCAGGAGUAUCCCCACCCAGACGGCAUUGGAGAUUCGACUCUCUGUUGCUGAGUGACGAAUCAUUUAUGAAAUUUAUUUCUGAUCAAAUAUCCUUGUUUUUGCAGAUUAAUUUAACACUGGUUGUAUCCAUAGCAUCAGUUUGGGAAGCCUUAAAGGCAUAUCUUAGAGGUCAAGUGAUCUCUUAUGUAGCUAAAAAGAAGCGAGACGCUGUCUCUCCACAAAAAUAUUUCGAGAAACGGAUUGCAGACUUGGACAACAGACACUCAUUAAAUUCCACACAUGAUUUAUACAAAGAACAUCUAAAACUUUGUGCAGAACAUGAUAGGCUCACUUCUCAUUCCAAAGAAUCCCUACUGUUAAAAAAUAGGAGUAAUGUUUAUGAACAUGCUGAUAAGACAGGAGAGGUUCUAGCAAGACAGUUGAAGGGUUCAUGAGCCAAAAAAGCUAAAAGCGCGGUGACCAGUCAGGGAGAUGGUCAUUGGUCAGCAACAGACAAAUGAUGUCUUCCGAGACUAUUACUACAAUUUAUAUAGUUCGGAUGAUACCUGUAAUUCUGAUCUUCUCUCCAACUUUUUUAGACAUCGGCAUAUACCAGCAUUGUCUCCAGAGGAUGUCUCUGUCUUGGAUGCACCAGUACAACAGCAGAAGAUCGAAGCAGUUAUUAAAUCCUUACAGCCACACAAAUUACUAGGUCCAGACGGUCUACCGAGUGAGUUCUAAGCAGCUUUCUCUGAAAAAUUGGCUCCAAUGUUAGCCAAAGUAUAUACAGACUCUUUUAACAAGGGCGUUCUUCCAAGUAGUCUAAACCAAGCAUGCAUCACAUUACUCCC